RNAcentral lists this ribosomal RNA (253 nucleotides) under uncultured bacterium. RNAcentral describes it as "partial 16S ribosomal RNA". It matches the Rfam family "Bacterial small subunit ribosomal RNA", at positions 524 to 776 of the family's 1533-position model. The record is from RNAcentral.
UACAGAGGGUGCAAGCGUUAAUCGGAAUUACUGGGCGUAAAGCGCGCGUAGGUGGUUUGUUAAGUUGGAUGUGAAAGCCCCGGGCUCAACCUGGGAACUGCAUUCAAAACUGACAAGCUAGAGUAUGGUAGAGGGUGGUGGAAUUUCCUGUGUAGCGGUGAAAUGCGUAGAUAUAGGAAGGAACACCAGUGGCGAAGGCGGCUCUCUAGUACGGUACUGACGCUGAGACGCGAAAGCGUGGGGAGCGAACAGG